Molecule: long non-coding RNA, 2031 nt
Filed under: Olea europaea (common olive)
Lineage: Eukaryota; Viridiplantae; Streptophyta; Magnoliopsida; Lamiales; Oleaceae
Description: long non-coding RNA (OEUR_LNC008447)
Source: RNAcentral
CCUAAUGUCAAAAUUUAGAGUAGAAUGCUCCAAAAUAUGGGUAGUUAAUUUUCUUCCUCAAUACAAGGUGGGAUGUAAUUGUCCUAUUACACCAUUCUACAAACUAAUGGAAGCCUUUUUUUCCCCCAACUGGCACAUGAAUGAGUAAUCUAACAACGCAUUUAAUUGAAGCAAUAUCAGAACCCAAUCAUUGAAACCAUACUACUCUCCAGUAACUUCAGAGAUAACUUUUUUGCUAUAAGAGUUACAAAAUUAACCAUCACCACCCACGAUUGAGCAAGAAUUUUAAUAUUUCAUCCCUUGGCGACAAAAUCAGACAUUUUCUUGAACACAAAGCACAACAAGGUAGAAGAUUCUGAAUGUUCGCUACACCAUCAAGCCAAAAACAAGUGACCAAAACCUUAUAAUCAGUGGCGAAUCCAAGAGUUUGAGUUAACACAGGCGAUCGUUGACCAUCUACCGUUGGCCGCCAUAAAAUAUUAAAAGUCCUUUUGGUAUCCAUUUUUUUUUUCAAAAAAUGUAUUUUGGAAUGGUGACUUGAUGGAAAACGUCUAAACGUGUGACUAAAAAUAAAGAAAAAUUUUAAAUUUAUGUGUAAUAUUAUUUUAUUAAAAAAUAUAUUGAUGAAAAGAAGAAAGAAAAAUGUAGUUUUAAAAAAAGGGGAAUCAAACAAGGCCUAAAGUAUAAAUAUAACAAUUAUUUUGUUCAAAAUGAAUAUAUAUAAUUCUGUUAUAAGAAUAAAUAGAACUUAUCAAAUAACAUUGUUGCCAAGUUUUGUAUAAUUUAAAGGAAGAGUGUGAAUUCAAAUAUUUAAAAUUGUUUGCAUUAAAACAAUCAAAAUCUAACAAAUAUCAUUUUGUUAAAUUUAGUAAUACAAUUCAAGAGGUACCAUAAUGAUUAAGUUUACCAUAACCCUUGUUUGAGAUCAUGGGUUCAAAUCCCCAUUAUCCCCCCCUUAUUGAAUUUUGGUAAAAAUUAUAGAAUAAAAAUAAUACAUAACAAAUCCAUUGACAAAUAUUCGAAACUAAGACUUAAAAUAUAUUAAAAUUGGCUCUCACCAAGUAAGCUACAAGGAUAUUUAAAAAUAAAAUCAAUUACCAACAAUAUAAGGUAAAAAUUUAAUCUAUUACUAACAAAAAAAUAUAUAUCCUGGUGGAUCCAGCUAGGGCGGCCAACUAUUCGCCACUACUUAUAAUCUAAAAAGUGGCCGUCCUAGCUGGUCACCAUCUGGAUCCGCCACUACUUAUAAUCUAGAAAAGCUAUCUUCCUUCAUCCUUUGGAAUUUUAUACGAAGUAGAAAAAUACAGAAUAUGAGCUUUUAUUUUGGAAGGUUAAAGAAGUUUCACUUUCUACAAGUGAAAUUAUUGAAAUAUAUACUAGAAAAUAAGAAAUCAAGGAAAGUUUGAUUUAUUCUCCUUGACGUAGUUAAUCAAAACAAAUUUUAAAUCAUUGAUCAUAGUUAUAAUCAAAUUUCAACCCAAGAAAUUCACUAUAAACCUAAUCAACCAAUUCUCCGCUACUAAAAAUUGAAAAAUUCAUCAAAAUUUCCAAUAAAAGUAAACAAACUCAACUUCAAGUGACAUGAUUUCAUCAUCAAUUCGUCAAGUACGAAAAAAUGAAUUACAUCUGAAUUGAUUAUUCAAUUCCUCAACCAAAGGUCAUCAAGUAGAGUUGAAUAAAAAAACAUGAGGAAGAGAAACAAAACUAGCAAAAAUAAAGAAAAUUACACAAGUUGAAAAUUUAAGCAACUCAAAAAUCGAAUUAAUCAAUAAAUCAAUCAAUCCGAGUAUAAUAAUAGGGGAAUUACCUGAGAAUCUGAGAAUCUAUGCUCACAAAUUUACUCUUUCCAGGCACAAACAAACCUUAGUGCACAAGCUUGUCCCCCGCAGAGACAAAGAAAACACCAAAAACUUGGGGAGGGAGAGAGAGAGAAUCGUGUAAUGACGUGAGCACAUUAACUUUCAAAAAUAAGAAAGAAAUGGAAAAAUGAUUAUUGCAAAAAUGAUUUUGUCUAGUACACAACGAGAUUUA